RNAcentral lists this ribosomal RNA (575 nucleotides) under Pseudallescheria angusta. RNAcentral describes it as "LSU rRNA". It matches the Rfam family "Eukaryotic large subunit ribosomal RNA", at positions 44 to 637 of the family's 3401-position model. The record is from RNAcentral. Lineage: Eukaryota; Fungi; Ascomycota; Sordariomycetes; Microascales; Microascaceae.
CAAUAAGCGGAGGAAAAGAAACCAACAGGGAUUGCCUCAGUAACGGCGAGUGAAGCGGCAACAGCUCAAAUUUGAAAUCUGGCGGCCUCUGGGCCGUCCGAGUUGUAAUUUGAAGAGGAUGCUUUUGGCGAGGUGCCUUCCGAGUGCCCUGGAACGGGACGCCACAGAGGGUGAGAGCCCCGUAUGGUUGGACGCCGAGCCUCUGUAAAGCUCCUUCGACGAGUCGAGUAGUUUGGGAAUGCUGCUCAAAAUGGGAGGUAAACCCCUUCUAAAGCUAAAUACUGGCCAGAGACCGAUAGCGCACAAGUAGAGUGAUCGAAAGAUGAAAAGCACUUUGAAAAGAGAGUUAAACAGCACGUGAAAUUGUUGAAAGGGAAGCGCUUGCGACCAGACUUGUGCUCGUCGAAUCAGCCGCCGCUCGUCGGCGGCGCACUUCGGCGGGCUCAGGCCAGCAUCAGUUCGCUGCAGGGGGAGAAAGGCGAUGGGAAUGUGGCUCUUCGGAGUGUUAUAGCCCGCCGCGCAAUACCCCUCGGCGGACUGAGGACCGCGCAUCUGCAAGGAUGCUGGCGUAAUGG